Molecule: ribosomal RNA, 489 nt
Filed under: uncultured bacterium
Lineage: Bacteria
Description: bacterial SSU rRNA
Rfam family: Bacterial small subunit ribosomal RNA
Source: RNAcentral
GAGACACGCUGGCGGCGUGGAUUAGGCAUGCAAGUCGAACGGUAUCAUCCUUUCGGGGGUGAGAGAGUGGCGAACUGGUGAGUAACACGUAGGUUAUCUACCCUCAAGACGGGGACAACCCAGGGAAACUUGGGCUAAUACCGGAUGUGAGCAACUUUUAGUUGUUUGAAAGGUGGCGUAAGCUGUCGCUUGGGGAUGAGCCUGCGUCCUAUUAGUUAGUUGGUGAGGUAACGGCUCACCUAGGCAAUGAUAGGUAGGCGGCCUUAACGGGUGGUCGCCCACACUGGGGAUUGAGAUACGGCCCAGACUCCUACGGGAGGCAGCAGUCGAGAAUAGUCUACAAUGGUCGGAAGACUGAUAGUGCGACGCCGCGUGAACGAUGAAUCCCUUCGGGGUGUAAAGUUCUUUUAUAUGUGAGCAGUGCUUCUUAUAUUUAACAGUAUGGGGAGAGAGAUAUUAGCAUAUGAAUAAGCAACGGCUAACUCCGUG